RNAcentral lists this ribosomal RNA (550 nucleotides) under uncultured Funneliformis. Its description in RNAcentral is "SSU rRNA". It matches the Rfam family "Eukaryotic small subunit ribosomal RNA", at positions 548 to 1098 of the family's 1831-position model. The record is from RNAcentral. Lineage: Eukaryota; Fungi; Glomeromycota; Glomeromycetes; Glomerales; Glomeraceae.
UUGGAGGGCAAGUCUGGUGCCAGCAGCCGCGGUAAUUCCAGCUCCAAUAGCGUAUAUUAAAGUUGUUGCAGUUAAAAAGCUCGUAGUUGAAUUUCGGGAUCAAUGUUUCGGUCAUGCCGUUGGUAUGUACUGAUAUUAUUGGUUUCUCACCUUCUAAAGAACCGUAAUGCCAUUAAUUUGGUGUCACGGGGAAUUAGGACUGUUACCUUGAAAAAAUUAGAGUGUUUAAAGCAGGCUCACGCUUGAAUACAUUAGCAUGGAAUAAUGAAAUAGGACAUCCGAUUCUAUUUUGUUGGUUUCUAGGAUCGAUGUAAUGAUUAAUAGGGAUAGUUGGGGGCAUUAGUAUUCAAUUGUCAGAGGUGAAAUUCUUGGAUUUAUUGAAGACUAACUACUGCGAAAGCAUUUGCCAAGGGUGUUUUCAUUAAUCAAGAACGAAAGUUAGGGGAUCGAAGACGAUCAGAUACCGUCGUAGUCUUAACCAUAAACUAUGCCGACUAGGGAUCGGAUGAUGUUAAUUUUUUAAUGACUCAUUCGGCGCCUUACGGGAAAC